Non-coding RNA from Cordylochernes scorpioides, 10018 nucleotides. Lineage: Eukaryota; Metazoa; Arthropoda; Arachnida; Pseudoscorpiones; Chernetidae. The record is from the annotation of a GenBank genome assembly.
UUUGCGUUCACAUCACUCGGGUUUCUUUUAUAGAACCUUCAUUUUUCACAACGUGAUGUUUGCGUUCACAUCACUCGGGUUUCUUUUAUAGAAUCAUUUUUUUUUACAACGCGAUGUUAGCGUUCACAUCACUCGGAUUUCUUUUAUAGAAUCUUCAUUUUUUUUACAACGCGAUGUUUGCGUUCUCAUCACUCGAUUUCUUUUCUAGAAUCAUUUUUUUUACAACGCGAUGUUAGCGUUCACAUCACUCGGAUUUCUUUUAUAGAACCUUCAAUUUUCACAACGCGAUGUUUGCGUUCACAUCACUCGGGUUUCUUUUAUAGAAUCUCCAUUUUCACAACGCGAUGUUUGCGUUCACAUCACUCAGGUUUCUUUUAUAGAAUCUUCUUUUUUUUUUACAACGCGAUGUUUGCGUUCUCAUCACUCGAUUUCUUUUAUAGAAUCAUUUUUUUACAACUCGAUGUUAGCGUUCACAUCACUCGGAUUUCUUUUAUAGAACCUUCAAUUUUCACAACGCGAUGUUUGCGUUCACAUCACUCGGGUUUCUUUUAUACAAUCUCCAUUUUCACAACGCGAUGUUUGCGUUCACAUCACUCAGGUUUAUUUUAUAGAAUCUUCAUUUUUCACAACGCGAGGUUAGCGUUCACAUCACUCAGGUUUCUUUUAUAGAAUCAUUUUUUUACAACGCGAUGGUUGCGUUCACAUCACUCGGGUUUCUUUUAUAGAAUCAUUUUUUUUACAACGCGAGGUUAGCGUUCACAUCACUCGGAUUUCUUUUAUAGAACCUUCAAUUUUCACAACGUGAUGUUUGCGUUCACAUCACUCGGGUUUCUUUUAUAGAAUCAUUUUUUUUCAACGCGAUGUUAGCGUUCACAUCACUCGGGUUUCUUUUAUAGAAUCUCCAUUUUCACAACGCGAUGUUUGCGUUCACAUCCCUCAGGUUUCUUUUAUAGAAUCAUUUUUUUUUUACAACGCGAGGUUAGCGUUCACAUCACUCGGAUUUCUUUUAUAGAAUCUUCAUUUUUUCUACAACGCGAUGUUUGCGUUCUCAUCACUCGAUUUCUUUUCUAGAAUCAUAUUUUUUUACAAAGCGAUGUUAGCGUUCACAUCACUCGGAUUUCUUUUAUAGAACCUUCAAUUUUCACAACGCGAUGUUUGCGUUCACAUCACUCGGGUUUCUUUUAUAGAAUCUCCAUUUUCACAACGCGAUGUUUGCGUUCACAUCACUCAGGUUUCUUUUAUAGAAUCUUCAUUUUUUUUUACAACGCGAUGUUUGCGUUCUCAUCACUCGAUUUCUUUUAUAGAAUAAUUUUUUUUACAACGCGAUGUUUGCGUUCACAUCACUCGGGUUUCUUUUAUAGAACCUUCAUUUUUCACAACGUGAUGUUUGCGUUCACAUCACUCGGGUUUCUUUUAUAGAAUCAUUUUUUUUACAACGCGAUGUUAGCGUUCACAUCACUCGGGUUUCUUUUAUAGAAUCUCCAUUUUCACAACGCGAUGUUUGCGUUCACAUCACUCAGGUUUCUUUUAUAGAAUCUUCAUUUUUUUUACAACGCGAUGUUUGCGUUCACAUCACUCGGAUUUCUUUUAUAGAACCUUCAAUUUUCACAACGCGAUGUUUGCGUUCACAUCACUCGGGUUUCUUUUAUAGAAUCUCCAUUUUCACAACGCGAUGUUUGCGUUCACAUCACUCAGGUUUCUUUUAUAGAAUCUUCUUUUUUUUUUUACAACGCGAUGUUUGCGUUCUCAUCACUCGAUUUCUUUUAUAGAAUCAUUUUUUUUACAACGCGAUGUUUGCGUUCACAUCACUCGGGUUUCUUUUAUAGAACCUUCAUUUUUCACAACGUGAUGUUUGCGUUCACAUCACUCGGGUUUCUUUUAUAGAAUCAUUUUUUUUACAACGCGAUGUUAGCGUUCACAUCACUCGGGUUUCUUUUAUAGAAUCUCCAUUUUCACAACGCGAUGUUAGCGUUCACAUCACUCGGAUUUCUUUUAUAGAACCUUCAAUUUUCACAACGCGAUGUUUGCGUUCACAUCACUCAGGUUUCUUUUAUAGAAUCAUUUUAUUUACAACGCGAUGUUAGCGUUCACAUCACUCGGAUUUUUUUAUAGAACCUUCAAUUUUCACAACGCGAUGUUUGCGUUCACAUCACUCAGGUUUCUUUUAUAGAAUCAUUUUUUUUGCAACGCGAUGUUAACGUUCACAUCACUCGGAUUUCUUUUAUAGAACCUUCAAUUUUCACAACGCGAUGUUUGCGUUCACAUCACUCGGGUUUCUUUUAUAGAAUCAUUUUUUUGUUACAACGCGAGGUUAGCGUUCACAUCACUCGGGUUUCUUUUAUAGAAUCUUCUUUUUUUUUGCAACGCGAUGUUAGCGUUCACAUCACUCGGAUUUCUUUUAUAGAACCUUCAAUUUUCACAACGCGAUGUUGCGUUCACAUCACUCAGGUUUCUUUUAUAGAAUCAUUUUUUUUACAACGCGAUGUUAGCGUUCACAUCACUCGGAUUUCUUUUAUAGAAUCUUCAUUUUUUUGCAACGCGAUGUUAGCGUUCACAUCACUCGGAUUUCUUUUAUAGAACCUUCAAUUUUCACAAUGCGAUGUUUGCGUUCACAUCACUCAGGUUUCUUUUAUAGAAUCAUUUUUUUUCAACGCGAUGUUUGCGUUCACAUCACUCGGGUUUCUUUUAUAGAAUCUUCAAUUUUCACAACGCGAUGUUGCGUUCACAUCACUCAGGUUUCUUUUAUAGAAUCAUUUUUUUUUACAACGCGAUGUUAGCGUUCUCAUCACUCGGGUUUCUUUUAUAGAAUCUUCAUUUUUUUUUCAAAGCGAUGUUUGCGUCCACAUCACUCGGAUUUCUUUUACAGGAUCUUCAUUUUUACCCAACGCGAUGUUUGCGUUCACAUCCACACACACAUACAUGUAUGGUUUCUAUGUUAUUGAAUACCAAUUUCCUUUUGAAACGUGAACCCCAUAGUGUCUUAGGAACAUGAUUAAGAAAGACCCCUCCCCUUCCUUCUGUUUUGUGUUCCCUACUCCGCCUGCCUCUACGGGUCCUAAUACUCCCGUUACAACCAGGGUGAAUGACUAAUACCUAGUUCCUGUAGAUCCAACAACUGAGGACCAUGCCUGCUGAUGAAGAGAACGCCGCAACUAGCCAAGCCCAGCUGCCCUCCAUGCUGUACAACCUGGAGAAGUUUGAAGGGAAGGGCAUAGUCCCCUUCACAAAAUUCAUAAAGGACUUUGAACUUGUCUACGACCUGAAGGCCCUAGACGACGCCAGGAAAAGAAUCCUCUUGGACAACCACCUCCGGGGGGCUGCGAGGGAGUUUGCCCUACAAUCUCAGCAAAUCCGCCUCGGAUACGAAGAAUUGAAGGAGAGCCUAGAGGGGAGGUUCCGAAAGAGGGUCUCUACAAGGGAGAUGAGGAGCCAGUUCUUCUCAUGUAGACAAGGGGCCGGGGAGCAGAGUCGGAUGGCCUGAAGUUAGGCACCUCGGAAAUCGCGGAGGUUUUCAUCGACGGACUCUGCCCCAGCCUGUGGGAGAAGGCUCAUCUAUACCAAGGCGAACCCUGGGAAACCCUAGUUACCAAGCUACAGUGGCUGGAACAGAGAGAGGAAGACUACAGGGAGGCGCAGCGCUCCAGUGCCGACAGGAACGGUCAGAGGCUGGGUGACAUGGGCAACAAAUUGGCCGACCUGGAGAAGAAAAUGGAGGCACUAGAAAUAGAGAACGCAGCCCUUAGAAGACAAAGAGGGAGUGCCAAUAGUGCAAAUAGCGGGGGCGGAAGGUGGCCACCACACCCCGCAGGGAGAAAGGAUUACGGAGACAACGCCCAGGAUAACAGGAGGGGAGCCCCCUUUAGGAACUGGCAGAGGAGACCAGCACAACAACCACCCAGACAACAACGGAAUCCAUCUCCGCCUAGACAACAAAGGAGGGAACCCAACGGUGAAAGGGAGGAGAACCCUGGAGUGGACUACAAGAAGCAGGGUGCAGGGAGACCGCCCCCCAAGUGCUACGGGUGCGGCGAGCCAGGGCAUCUCAUCCGGGACUGCCGGCAGAAGCAGAGAAAAGACUAGGUCCGGCUUGCCUCAAGGCAGGAGGGGGAUUUGCGGCCAGUUUACCUGCCAUAAAUGUAUAUAUUUUGAAUAAAGGGAGGUCUCUGGACGAGAAGUGUCUCAAAUUUAUCCUAGAUUCAGGCUCAGAGGCCAACAUUGUAAAUAUUGACAAUUUAAAUUUAUGCACUGAGGGACUAGACAAGCCUACUUACCUUAAAGGUAUAUCAGGAAAAUCUUUAAGGUCAUUAGGAAGUGAGGUGUUAGAAAUAGGGGCAGUGGUGAACGGUAAGCCCAUUAGGGAGGUAAGAACGACCUUCGAGUAUUGUCACAUGGGGGAAUUGGGAUUUGAUGGCAUACUCGGAUUACCAGGUUUCCGAGCUCUAAAACUACACCUUAGCUACGACGGUAGUAUUAGGUCCGACUACGAAAGGAAGGAGGAUCCGACCAAGUCGGCCUUCCUCUCCUCACUACAAACAAUAGAAAUGUCUCCUCAACCACCCAGGAUACCCCUAAACGAGAUCCACACGGGCCACGAUAUUUUCAGGGCCUUCAGUCAUUGCUUCUGCAAUGAUAUAAAAGAUAUGGGGAAUGGCUCCACCAUCACAGCCCCUAAACUGAGGAUGCUGACUAGCAAACCAGUAUAUAGGAGGCAAUAUCCAAUCCCGAACAAACUAGUCUCAAAGGUGAAAGCGUUAGUGGACGAGCUGGAGUAAGUAGGGAUAAAAGAAGGGAGCACCUCUCUGUGGAAUUCCCCUCUAUUCCCGGUUGCCAAAACUGAUGGUAGUGUUCGCAUCACCAUGGAUCUACGUAUGAUCAAUGAGGCAACUGAAUUCUUCCCGUUCCCUAUACCCCGUGUUGAAGACAAUCUGCGCGCAUUUGCGGGUGCAAAGGUCUUCAGCACAUUAGAUCUGACUUCUGGAUUCUUCCAGAUCCACAUCCCAGAAAGUGACAGAGAUUAUUUUACCUUCUCUCUGCCCUGGGGGAGAUACCGCUUCACGCGUUUGCCACAGGGAGCUAAAAACUCAGCACAGGUCUUCCAGUGGGCCAUGAACUUGGUCCUGGGUGACUUGUUGUUCAAAUGCGUUCGCCUGUACAUCGAUGACGUCAUUGUCUACAGCGACUCUCACGAGCAGCAUGUAGCGGACCUCGCCGCUGUACUCGAACGCCUGAGUAAGUUCGGUUUGAAGGCCAAAUACGGGUAGAGCUAUCUCUUCAGGGACUCAGUAGAGUACCUGGGUCAUAUAAUCGACCAAAAUGGGAUCAAACCCAUGUGGGAUAAUGUCGCCGCUCUCAGGAAUUUGAAACGACCUCAUAACAUUAAGGCAGUCAGAAGUCUAUUGGGUACAAUUAACUACUACCGUCGCUUUAUUCCCAACGCAGGUGAGGUCCUGGCUCCACUGAGCAACCUAUUAAGGAAGGGACAUAGAUUUGCUUGGGGUAUGUUAGAGCAGUCAGCCUUUGAGACGGUGAAGGGGAUAUUAAUCAGCGAGCCACUACUAAUUCACCCAACAAUUGGGAUGCCUUUCAUCCUGAACACUGACGCCAGUGGGAUAGCGGUAGGCGCUUGCCUCCAACAGGAGGUCAAUGGGACAGUGAGGCCAAUUGCUUAUUAUAGCAAGAGACUGACUGGUCCUGAGAUCCGCUAUUCCACGAUAGAAAAGGAGGCUUAUGCAGUAGUGUUGUCCCUACAACACUUUAAACACCUCCUGGCGGGCAGUAGAGUAGAAGUACAUACUGACCAUAAACCGAUUACUUAUAAUAAGGGGUCUGAUUAUAAGAACGCCCGACUGUCUAGGUGGGCAGAGAUCAUCCAAGACUUCAACGUUACAUUCAUAUAUGUCCCGGGGAAGGAAAACACGGUAGCCGAUUUCCUUAGUAGGUUCCCGUGCGAGGAUGAUCCAAACCUACCACAAUAUAGGAGGGUAGUGGCCGCGGUGGUAAGAGACCGUCGGCCCCCCUUAUUAAAUAGUAAUCAGAUAUGGGAAGGUUUACUUCAAGAGAAAGGAUGGGCCCCAGUAAUGAAUAAGUUAACAAAACUAAAACCAAGCAGCACGGAGAGGUAUAAUAACAGGGAAUAUAGGUUACUAGACAAAUACCUCGUUACAAAGAAUGCAAGGGGUACCUGGGUGAAGGUGGUUCCUACAGGUUUUAGGGAAACAGUGAUCAGCUAUCAUCAUGACAUCGCUACUGGAGGUCAUUUCGGAGUUAGAAAGGUUAUGAGAAGGCUGAAGGGUGACUAUUACUGGCCUUGCAUGAGGACACAAGUCCAGAAAUAUAUACGCAGAUGCGAGAGCUGCCAGCUAUCGAAUCAAGGCGUAGCCAAAGCCGCAAGUGCUCCCUACUUUAGACCCGAAAAACCCUUUGAGCACCUAGCUCUAGACUUCAUAGGACCAUUAGAAAUAACCCCAAGGGGUUAUUCGAGGAUUCUGACCAUUGUGGAUCCUUUUUAUCCCGAUAUGGUAUAAUUUACGAUAUUUGCGUGACGAUACAAUCACGAUAAAAAUUCAAAAUGGCGGCCGAUGGACGCGCACAACACCCGACUUUUCAGUUCGUGUUACAUCCAACUUUAUGGCUAGUAAUUAAAUUUAUUUAGUCUUAUUUACCACAAAUCUAAUCAUUAAAGUGAUAAAGCAGUAUAAAUUUAUUUUUUACCAGCGUUUUAAAGUUUAAGCAUUAACUUUUUUUUAACUUGGCCCCCUCACAAUUAGACUAGCAUAUUUCGAUUUUAUAUUGUACGGAUAUGAUAUGCAUAGAGACGGCGCCAUAUUUAGUACAUCCUUUAGUUUUAAAAGCUAAAAUGUUUCAUAAAUAACAUUUUGUAUGAAGUUAUUGAGUAUUAUGCAAAUGAUCCACAUGUCAUCUUUAAGAUAAUUCUUUUAUUUUUUUUUUUUUGGUAACACAAAUCGUGAUUCUUUCUAUCUAGUUAUCGCAAACAUUUACUUAUCGCGCUUUAGACUAUUAUGAAGAAACGACAUGUUUUUCUCUAUGAUUUUCUUGUUGAUUCGAAAGGCAUAUACCCCCCAGGACAAAAGGUUUAAUUUCAUCGCCUCCCUCUUAAAAUAUUUAGAUUAUAAAGAAACUGGUCGACUGAAUUAAUAAUUUUACUGGGUCUUUAUCCCUCUGGUAAUUGUAAGCAAAUUCCGUCUAAUAUUAAUUAUAUAUCUAGUUUAUAGCAACAUUUAUUGCAAACACUUGGGUACCAGUACCACGAUAACCAGAGUUGUUUUCCUAGUUAAUAUAAUCCUUCGAGAGUAGAAUUCCGACACCUUUCCACAUUUUGUUUUUUGGUACAACCUACGAUAUAGGCAUUUGCGUGGUGGUACAGUCUCGAUAAAAUUCAACAUGUCAUAAUUAAGAUUUACCUUUUCCUUUUUAUGAAAUUUCCAACUAUUCUGUCCACUUCCCUGAAGCACCUUUCCUAGAAUGAGGACGAAUAAGACAUCAUUGUCUGCAUCUAAUUACAAUAGAUAACCACCAGCAGAAGGUCUGCUCAGAUACGAAUUUAAGCCCGUGUAUAUUUAGCAUUUCUUUCUUUACUAACGGGAGAAGGAUUGCUUUGUCAGGGCAAAUGUAAGAGAAUGUAUAUCAACAAAAGUCAUAGUAUUCUGGUGGUAUGGGUUUGAGCAUCUCCUUUCAAUUAAGACCCACGCCCCUUAGAGAAAACGAGAGAGAUAUCCCAAUAGUGUUGAUUCAAUAUAUAAAAUGUCAGACUUCAUAUAAUUAUCGUGUUUUGUAGAGGCAAGCUCCGAUUACGCUCACGAAUCAGAUAUGUGGUUCCUUUCAAUGAUAAUAGUGUUUAGAUAUAGUUUUUUUUUUUAAGAUCUGGACAGUCUAGAUCCUGGAGUUAGAGUGGAAAUCUAGAUAAGGUGGCUUAGUCCGCUCAACGCAGAUAACUCCAGUGACUAAUUAAGACAAUUCUAACUAACAGGGUGUUUAAAAAGGCAGGACUUUAAGGAAUUAGUCACGUCAAAGACAAUGUUUGCGCGGAGGUCUAGGAGUAACGAUAGAAAGGUAUUACAACGAUCCAGCUAAUAACAGUUGAAUAAAUAAAGUAAAUGGAUAUCAUACUGAAUGAUAAUGCCAGUGGGAGCAGAUACCACUGUAGUAUAUGUAAGUUUUUUUUUUUUUUGAACCAUACGUGAGUUUAACAGGAAACUGACGCCUUAAAGUGGCCUUUUCAUUGGAACUGAUUGAAGUUGCUACUGACUAGGAGAAGUGUAGUGUGUCAGGCCAGUGUAUCAAGAAGAAAUUGAGAAAACAAGUUGAACUGAUAAAAUUAACUAAGAUACAAGAUUAAGAUCCCUACUUGGUUCCAGUUAAUUUCAAUUACCGCGAUGAGACGGUGUUAUAAGUCGGGGGAAAGUUGAUUUGGUCGCUUAUGGGAUGGCCUCCUGGACGUGACAAAGAUCACCAUUGAUAUCUUAUUGAAUGCCGGACGGGAUUCGCGUGUAACAGCCAAUAAACCAAGUUUCACCCUAAAGUACCUGGGUGGCAAUGAGAGAGACGGCAUAAUCUAUAUUCAACGAUAUACACUGGUCAAAUGUACGAUUCUUCCCACAUCAAUGUUUUGACAACCACUUCAUUCUGAAAGGAGCAACGAGCUCUAACCCUGAAGUUAAGGUCCUUUGGAGCGGCAUUACCUGUUGCAUAAAGUAAAAACGCAAGACAACGAAUUUACCUAGAUCAUCUGUUAUCAGAUAAACGCCUAUGACCUACUAGAAGGGCUUCAUUCAUCCGCAUGAACAUGUCCUAGAUGAACAACUUAAUUCUAUAAGCUACUACCCUGUGAGUUAAGAGUUGUCAGCAAUAUUAAGAACUUCCUUUUUGGGACGUGAGGAACUGCAUAGUCUGAUUCAACCAGAGCACAAUAUUUAUAAGAUCACACCAAAGUCAUAGUUAGCAUCUAGAAACUUCGAUUCUGUGAAAGACUUGCAUAAUUUCUUGAAGGGAAUAUUGUUCAGCAAAGAGUAGGACAGCCGAUUUUUGUACAUAUAUAUGUAGUAAACCCGAUGUGGAAUGUGCUGGGCAGUCGUGGUAGUGGGUGCGUGAUGGGAUUCCCGCACUGGGACAGCAAGAGACAGAGGCAGGUCUAGAUGGUAACUCCAAGAAGGUAGAGGUAGACCACGGACGAAGGCAAGUCGAACCACGGGCGUCGCGGAUGCCUACAUCGCGGAUAGGGGUGAGAGACCCGACCGUAUAACGGCGUGGCUCUGAAAACAACUAACUGAACAACUGCUUUUGUCCCAUUUCUGGGCCUUUUAUAUUGGACGCUCGCAUAAGGUGGAGCGUCCUGAUUAGUUCCUAUAAUCACGUUACUUUAUGGCGCCAGGUUGUUUUUCGUCUGGUCUUUGUCGUCUCUGGUCUACCUCCUCUUUGUUUUAUUGUCACUUCCAUUGUUCGAUACAUAUUUUAAUAUAUAGAUAUGGGGUUAUAUAAUGAAUAUCAGAAGAAGGUUGUGAACCAUAUAACUCAAAAUAUACUACAGAAUGUGCCCCCGGUGAUGAAGGUUUGGUUGGGGGAAUGACAUGUAAUGAAUGAUAACCUAACAAACCUAUUAUAAAAAAAAAUAAAAGAAAUAAUUUGUAUACAAAUUAGUUAAAAUUAUUAUUAAGCUACAAGUUAAAAAGAGAAAGAUGUUGUAAUGGUGGUGUAUCAAUGAGAAAAAAAAAAUCAAGGUUAUAAAAAUAAAAAGGCACAAAAUGAAUGAUACAAGAUUAUACUCCAAGAAGGUAGAGGUAGACCACGGACGAAGGCAAGUCGAACCACGGGCGUCGCGGAUGCCUACAUCGCGGAUAGGGGUGAGAGACCCGACCGUAUAACGGCGUGGCUCUGAAAACAACUAACUGAACAACUGCUUUUGUCCCAUUUCUGGGCCUUUUAUAUCGGACGCUCGCAUAAGGUGGAGCGUCCUGAUUGGUUCCUAUAAUCACGUUACUUUAUGGCGCCAGGUUGUUUUUCG